This 2102-nucleotide ribosomal RNA is filed under the name human gut metagenome. Its description in RNAcentral is "bacterial LSU rRNA". It matches the Rfam family "Bacterial large subunit ribosomal RNA", at positions 732 to 2925 of the family's 2925-position model. The record is from RNAcentral.
ACCCUUGGCCAGGUUGAAGCAUGGGUAAAACCAUGUGGAGGACCGAACAGGUGAACGUUGAAAAGUUCUCUGAUGAGCUGAGGGUAGGAGUGAAAGGCUAAUCAAACCCCGUGAUAGCUGGUUCUCUUCGAAAUGCAUUUAGGUGCAGCGUCACGUGCUGAUGCGCGGGGGUAGAGCACUGACAAGGCUAGGGGGCACACCCGCUUACCAAACCUUAUCAAACUCCGAAUACCGUGCAAUGGAACGUGGCAGUGAGACAGUGGGGGAUAAGCUUCAUUGUCGAGAGGGAAACAACCCAGAUCAGCAGCUAAGGUGCCUAAAUAACGCUCAGUGGAAAGGAUGUGGGAUUACACAGACAGUGAGGAUGUUGGCUUAGAAGCAGCCACCAUUUAAAAAAUGCGUAAUAGCUUACUCAUCGAGUGAUCCUGCGCCGAAAAUGAUUGGCGAUCAAGCGUUAUACCGAAGCUCUGGACUUUACCUUACGGUAGAGUGGUAGAAGAGCGUUGCAUGCGCGUUGAAGGGUGAUGGCGACUGACCCUGGAGCACAUGCAAGUGAGUAUGCAGACAUGAGUAACGUAAAGCCGGGUGAAAUCCCCGGCCGCCGUAAACCCGAGGUUUCCAGGGCAACGUGUUUCGUCCCUGGGUUAGCCGGGACCUAAGCCGAGGCCGAGAGGCGUAGGCGAUGGAUAUCAGGUUAAUAAUCCUGAGCUCGCGACCCUUAAACUGGGGGGACGCAUGAGAAAAGAUGACUAGGUUAUUGAAUUCCGAGUUGAGUCCACGGACUCAGCGCAUCAUUGGAUCGAGUGCCAAGAAAAGCCCCAGCGUAUGCUAAGCGACCCGUACCGCAAACCGACACAGGUGGGUGGGUAGAAUAUACCAAGGCGUAAGAGUGAAACCUGGUUAAGGAACUCGGCAAAUUAGCCCCGUAACUUCGGAAGAAGGGGUGCCUGCAGCGAUGCAGGCCGCAGAGAAAUGGCCCAACCGACUGUUUAUCAAAAACACAGCACUCUGCAAAGACGCAAGUCGAAGUAUAGGGUGUGACACGUGACCAAUGCCGAAAGAUUAAGGCAAGGGGUUAGCCGCAAGGCGAAGCUCUGAACCCAAGUCCCGGUGAAUGUCGGCCGUAACUAUAACGGUCCUAAGGUAGCGAAAUUCCUUGUCGGGUAAGUUCCGACCUGCACGAAUCGUGAAACGAGUUGGGCACUGUCUCAACCAGGCGCUCAGUGAAAUUGUAGUGGCGGUGAAGAUGCCGCCUACCCGCAGAAGGACGGAAAGACCCUAUAGACCUUAACUGUAAGCUGUCAUUGUUUCUUCGGUUUUAAUGCUCAGAGUAAGUGGGAGACGCUGAAGACGCCCUUUAGGGGGCGUCGGAGUCAUCAAUGAGACACCACCCUUUGAAACUGGAGGAUCUAACCCUGAGCCGUGAAUCCGGCCAGAGGACCGUGUCAGCCGGUCAGUUUUACUGGGGCGGUAUCCUCCCAAAGAGUAACGGAGGAGCGCGAAGGUGGGCUCAGCCCGGUUGGCAACCGGGUGUCGAGUGCAUGGGCAUAAGCCCGCCUAACUGUGAGACCAACAAGUCGAGCAGAUGCGAAAGCAGGCCCAAGUGAUCCGGCGGUAGAAAGUGGAAUUGCCGUCGCUCAACGGAUAAAAGGUACCUUAGGGAUAACAGGCUGAUCACGCCCAAGAGUUCAUAUCGACGGCGUGGUUUGGCACCUCGAUGUCGGCUCGUCGCAUCCUGGGGCUGGAGAAGGUCCCAAGGGUCCGGCUGUUCGCCGGUUAAAGCGGCACGCGAGCUGGGUUCAGAACGUCGCGAGACAGUUCGGUCCUCUAUCCUCUGUGGGCGUUGGAAAAUUGAGGGGUUCAGACCUUAGUACGAGAGGACCGGGUCUGACGCACCACUGGUGCAUCGGUUGUACUGUCAAGUGCAUGGCCGAGUAGCUAAGUGCGGACGGGAUAAGCGCUGAAAGCAUCUAAGCGCCAAGCCCAUCCCAAGAUGAGUUUUCCCUAUAGGUUCGUGGAAGACCACCACGUUGAUAGGUCGCAGGUGUAAGUGCAGCAAUGUAUUGAGCCAAGCGAUACUAAUCACCAAUAGACUUCAUCAU